GAGGAAGAUCUGCGAGUCAAACAUGAAUAUAAUUAUUGUUCAUCAUCAGUGUUAAUGAGUGUGUGCGUGUGUGCGUGUGUGGCCAAUUUAGUUACUUUGUAGCUAGAUUUAGCGACUUCCCCGCCCCUUUUGAGACUUUUUUUCAAAAGUUUAGGGACAACUAUAGUAACUUCUUGGAUAAACCUUAUCUAAGUUCUCAUCUUGCCCACUGAUCUGCAUUCAUCUUUAUAUAGAUCCGUGAAUUGGCCAUUGUGACGUCAUCUAGUGACGUCAAGCUACGCUCAGUUGAAAGCGGUUGGCGACACAGUGCGUGACGUCACGGGACGCUCCACGUGCCGCUUGUUUACAGCGAGUCUGAGGAGCAGAGAUUGUGAAAGUGUUCCUGGAUUGAGUUUCACUGCUGCUCUUCAUAUUUAGAUCUUCAUCAGAGUCUGUGAGAAUCACCAGCACACGGUCAGUAUGGCACCUAACCCGAACUAACACUAGCAGUGAUAACCCUGGCUUGAGCUUGAGCUUGAGCUGCUCUUCAUCUGAUCUGUGCUGAAGGUCAGCUCUGUUCUCCAGACCUGUGUCUCAAGCAGCGUUUGCACAAGCCCAGUUCUGUGUCUGGAGCGGAUGAUCAGUGCUUGCUGAUUCUCAUGUGUGUGUGUUUCUCGUCAUAUGCAGAUAUUAGAGAGAAGAAUGUUCCAGAUGGUUCAGUUCUUAGUUCCCUCGGGGCCCAAGAGACCCGGUAACAUCAGCCUAUCUCCCCCGAGCCGACAGAACCGGACUCAGACCGCUUCCAAUGAGUUUCUGCAGCACGUCCGGAGAGUCAGCGGCCUGAAACAGCAGGACAUGUUCUAUAACCUGCGUGUCCCAAACCAGAGUCAGAGCGACCGAGACGAGAUCCACCUGCUGCUGCUCACAGGUCACGGAGUGUUCUGCAUCGAUCUGAAGACGUGGAGCGGCUCUGUUUCGGUCGCGAGCGAGGCUCAGGUCAGAGCGGAGCAGCAGAACUUCACCAGCGUCUCCAUCGAGCAGCUGCCCGACGCUCUUCAGGCCAUUACAGAGAAAACCAGCAACCUGCACAGCCACAUGAAGCGCUGCGGGCUGAACCUCCGGCCCAAUCUCUUCAUUCCCAGAGUGCUGUUCCUGUCUGCGGACUGUGUGCGGAGCGCGGAUCUGCUGCAGACGGAGCAGCUGCUGUCCUGCGCAGACGUGGAGCCGUUCCUGCGCUCGCUGCGUGAGGGAUACAUGUCCUGGCUCUCCGACGCCUUCACGCCGUCCUGGAUCUCAGGUGCGUCUGAUAAAGACAGACGGAGCUUCGGCGGGGGUUCUGCUCUGGU
RNAcentral lists this long non-coding RNA (1325 nucleotides) under Sinocyclocheilus grahami. RNAcentral's name for it is "lncRNA (ENSSGRG00000011489.1)". Lineage: Eukaryota; Metazoa; Chordata; Actinopteri; Cypriniformes; Cyprinidae. The record is from RNAcentral.